AACGAACGCUGGCGGCAUGCUUAACACAUGCAAGUCGAACGAGACAUUCGGGCCUAGUGGCGCACGGGUGCGUAACGCGUGGGAAUCUGCCCUUUGCUACGGAAUAACUCAGAGAAAUUUGUGCUAAUACCGUAUAAUGUCUACGGACCAAAGAUUUAUCGGCAAAGGAUGAGCCCGCGUAAGAUUAGCUUGUUGGUGGGGUAAAGGCCUACCAAGGCGACGAUCGUUAGCUGGUCUGAGAGGAUGAUCAGCCACACUGGGACUGAGAAACGGCCCAGACUCCUACGGGAGGCAGCAAUGGGGAAUAUUGGACAAUGGGCGAAAGCCUGAUCCAGCAAUGCCGCGUGAGUGAUGAAGGCCUUAGGGUUGUAAAGCUCUUUUACCAGGGAUGAUAACGACAGUACCUGGAGAAUAAGCUCCGGCUAACUUCGUGCCAGCCGCCGCUGUAA
This 449-nucleotide ribosomal RNA is filed under the name uncultured bacterium. RNAcentral describes it as "partial 16S ribosomal RNA". It matches the Rfam family "Bacterial small subunit ribosomal RNA", at positions 29 to 523 of the family's 1533-position model. The record is from RNAcentral.